Molecule: ribosomal RNA, 261 nt
Filed under: uncultured archaeon
Lineage: Archaea
Description: partial 16S ribosomal RNA
Rfam family: Archaeal small subunit ribosomal RNA
Source: RNAcentral
CAGCCGUAAACUAUGCGCGUUAGGUGUAUCGGUGACCACGAGUUACCGAGGUGCCGAAGGGAAACCGUGAAACGUGCCGCCUGGGAAGUACGGUCGCAAGGCUGAAACUUAAAGGAGUUGGCGGGGGAGCACCACAACAGGUGGAGCCUGCGGUUUAAUUGGACUCAACGCCGGGAAGCUCACCGGAUAGGACAGCAGAAUGAUUGCCGGGCUGAAGACCCUGCAUGACUAGCUGAGAGGUGGUGCAUGGCGUCAGUGACU